GGCCUACGGGAGGCUGCAGUGGGGAAUAUUGGACAAUGGGCGAAAGCCUGAUCCAGCCAUGCCGCGUGAGUGAUGAAGGCCCUAGGGUUGUAAAGCUCUUUCAACGGUGAAGAUAAUGACGGUAACCGUAGAAGAAGCCCCGGCUAACUUCGUGCCAGCAGCCGCGGUAAUACGAAGGGGGCUAGCGUUGUUCGGAUUUACUGGGCGUAAAGCGCACGUAGGCGGAUAUUUAAGUUAGGGGUGAAAUCCCAGGGCUCAACCCUGGAACUGCCUCUAAUACUGGAUAUCUAGAGUCCGAGAGAGGUGAGUGGAAUUCCGAGUGUAGAGGUGAAAUUCGUAGAUAUUCGGAGGAACACCAGUGGCGAAGGCGGCUCACUGGCUCGGUACUGACGCUGAGGUGCGAAAGCGUGGGGAGCAAACAGGAUUAGAUACCCCAGUAGUCC
This 443-nucleotide ribosomal RNA is filed under the name uncultured Phyllobacteriaceae bacterium. RNAcentral describes it as "bacterial SSU rRNA". It matches the Rfam family "Bacterial small subunit ribosomal RNA", at positions 335 to 796 of the family's 1533-position model. The record is from RNAcentral. Lineage: Bacteria; Pseudomonadati; Pseudomonadota; Alphaproteobacteria; Hyphomicrobiales; Phyllobacteriaceae.